CGUUCCGAAAGGCCCCUUCCGCUGCUCUUCCCCUGUGGGCUCGAGUACCCCGUUCAAAGGUUCCGCAGGAGAACGCUGAGGACCCGCGAGAGUAGCCUAAUGACAGUGAAGUGGACAUGUUUGGUGACUAUGAUAGCUUUACUGAAAACUCCUUUAUAGCUCAAGUUGACGACCUGGAACAAAAAUAUAUGCAACUCCCUGAACAUAAGAAACAUGCUACAGACUUUGCCACUGAAAAUCUUUGCUCGGAAAGUAUCAAAAACAAACUCAGCAUUACUACCAUA
RNAcentral lists this long non-coding RNA (284 nucleotides) under Homo sapiens (human). RNAcentral describes it as "HSALNT0074470". Lineage: Eukaryota; Metazoa; Chordata; Mammalia; Primates; Hominidae. The record is from RNAcentral.